AGACACUGAACUGUUCAAGUGUUAUAGCAUUACAUACAAAAAUUCCAGUUUAGUUUUUGCUAUAUGACAAACUCGAUGCUACACAAAAUGCGAAUGUUUACAAAAAGAGUAAGAUUUACCAUCAUGUACAAAAUAAAAUUCAACCAUGAGCAAUUUUGCCAGCUUCAUGAUGAUCAUUCACAAAUUUUAAAAUGUCUUGGACAUAAAUACACCAUGUCAAGAUAACCGUCUUAGUGUUCAGAAAGAUUAGUAGAGGGAUAAAACAGUUGUAGGCAAUAAAAGCUCACUCAACCUACUCAGCCAAUAUUGUUCUUGAUCCUUCGCCUCCUUGAUGUCCUGCUGAACUUUUUCACCCAGUAUUUCAAAUACUUUGACAGAUCUUUGCACCUCUCCCGCUCGGUUUUGGGCCUCUUGCAAGCGCCUUUCAGCCUUUUUGAGUCGUUUCUCUGCUGCUAAGACCUCAUUGUUCCUUUCUACCAAAUCCUUUUUAGCUGCUUUAGAGACGAGCUUGGUAGUCUCUCUUAACGCCAUUAGUAAAGAAGACUUUUUCUCCAUAUCCUCCUCUUCAGAAAUCUCAUCAAGAUAUUGUUGCAACCAAGCUACAUCAAGCUUGGCAUCCACAGCAUCAGAGACUACAGAUCUCAUGGCUUUAAUGGAAGAAAAACUAACAUCACUGGUUUUCAGCCGCCUGACAACAUCACUAACAACAUCAAGCAGGGAAGCUCUGGCAGCCACUGAUUUACAUUGACAGUUGACUGCAAUGUCACCAUACUUGGCAAAAAUGGCAGCAAGUAUAGGAGCAUUGCUCACUUUUACUUUAUAGCCAUGCACAUCCACCAGCUCACUGGACACAUCACCAUCUUCGGGCGACACCUUUAUAGUUGUUGUCAAACUCCUUGGAUUUUCGUCUUCUCCAGAUUCUGAACCUUCAACCUUGAUCCCUUUAUUUUGGUGCACUCCUUUUGGAGUUGAAUUAUGCUGCGUGGUCAUUAUUGGAGUCAUCAGAUCGUCAGUUGCUUUCCCACUAUAUAACUUUGUUUUGCUGCCUGCAUUCUUCUUGCUUUCAGUACCAGGAGUUAGCAACGGCACAUCAUUAGCAACAUUCAAAGCCUUCUUUUUUUUCCUUGUUUGGCGAUAUGAAUCAAUAAUGCAACCAAGGCGCAUGUCAGACAAAUCACUUGGACCAGGAGCAAUCUCGUGUAUAGGAUCUGAUGCAUUGUCAUUGUCAACUAGUUCCCAGCGCUCCUUUGUAAGAUUAAGAAUUUCUUGAUCGCCAUCUCCAUAGAUCACCGUGUGCUUCUUCUCUGAAUGGUCAAAAUCAGUGACAAGUCCUUCAUAGAACACUUGAUCAAGUGGCCACCAAACCCUUACUCUGCAGCCAACGAGCUCCUUCCCAUGCUCUCUGACAACUUUAUCCGCAGAAUCCUCUUUCUGUGAUGGCGGGUUCUUCCUUUUACAUUGUUUUUUAGAGCUUUUGGGGAAAUUGCUAUGCUUGAUGAUUGACACAGAACCCAAUGCCUCUUCUUGUGAUGGCAAG
This 1537-nucleotide unclassified non-coding RNA is filed under the name Hevea brasiliensis (rubber tree). Lineage: Eukaryota; Viridiplantae; Streptophyta; Magnoliopsida; Malpighiales; Euphorbiaceae. The record is from RNAcentral.